UGAGCAAUCUGCCCUUCACAUCGGAAUAACCAUUGGAAACGAUGGCUAAUACCGAAUAUGACUUCGGAUCGCAUGAUCUGAAGUGGAAAGCCCCGGCGGUGAAGGAUGAGCUCGCGGCCUAUCAGCUUGUUGGUGAGGUAAUAGCUCACCAAGGCGAUGACGGGUAGCCGGCCUGAGAGGGUGACCGGCCACACGUGGGACUGAGACACGGCCCAGACCUCCG
This 223-nucleotide ribosomal RNA is filed under the name uncultured bacterium. RNAcentral's name for it is "partial 16S ribosomal RNA". It matches the Rfam family "Bacterial small subunit ribosomal RNA", at positions 118 to 341 of the family's 1533-position model. The record is from RNAcentral.